This 500-nucleotide ribosomal RNA is filed under the name uncultured bacterium. RNAcentral's name for it is "bacterial SSU rRNA". It matches the Rfam family "Bacterial small subunit ribosomal RNA", at positions 29 to 521 of the family's 1533-position model. The record is from RNAcentral.
AAUGAACGCUGGCGGCGCGCCUAAUACAUGCAAGUCGAGCGAGAAGACGUAGCAAUACGUUUGUAAAGCGGCGAACGGGUGAGGAAUACAUGGGUAACCUACCCUAGAGUGGGGAAUAACUAGCCGAAAGGUUAGCUAAUACCGCGUACGCUCCUUGGACUUCGGUUCAGGGAGGAAAGCGAUGCCGAGGGUAUCGCGCUCUUGGAUGGGCUCAUGUCCUAUCAGCUUGUUGGGAGGUAACGGCUCACCAAGGCUUCGACGGGUAGCUGGUCUGAGAGGACGAUCAGCCACACUGGCACUGCGACACGGGCCAGACUCCUACGGGAGGCAGCAGUAAGGAAUAUUGCGCAAUGGGCGAAAGCCUGACGCAGCGACGCCGCGUGGGGGAUGAAGGUCUUCGGAUUGUAAACCCCUUUCGGGAGGGAAGAUGGAAUGGGGUAACCCAUUCGGACGGUACCUCCAGAAGCAGCCACGGCUAACUUCGUGCCAGCAGCCGCCGU